CCCUACGGGGUGCAGCAGGCGCGAAACCUUUACAAUGUGCGAAAGCAUGAUAAGGGAACUCCGAGUGCCAGUAUCUAACACUGGCUGUCCUUGUGCCUAAAACGCACAAGAUAGCAAGGGCCGGGUAAGACCGGUGCCAGCCGCCGCGGUAACACCGGCGGCCCGAGUGGUAGCCGCUAUUAUUGGGUCUAAAGGGUCCGUAGCCGGUUCGAUAAGUCCUCUGGGAAAUCUGGUUGCUUAACAAUCAGACUGCCAAGGGAUACUGUCGAACUUGAGACCGGGAGAGGUAAGAGGUACUUCAGGGGUAGGAGUGAAAUCUUGUAAUCCCUGGGGGACCAUCUGUGGCGAAGGCGUCUUACCAGAACGGGUCUGACGGUGAGGGACGAAAGCUGGGGGCGCAAACCGGAUUAGAUACCCGGGUAGUCCCAGCCGUAAACGAUGCUCGCUAUGUGUCAGGUACGGUGUGACCGUAUCUGGUGCCGUAGGGAAGCCGUGAAGCGAGCCACCUGGGAAGUACGGCCGCAAGGCUGAAACUUAAAGGAAUUGGCGGGGGAGCAC
This 558-nucleotide ribosomal RNA is filed under the name uncultured archaeon. RNAcentral's name for it is "bacterial SSU rRNA". It matches the Rfam family "Archaeal small subunit ribosomal RNA", at positions 321 to 879 of the family's 1478-position model. The record is from RNAcentral.